Molecule: ribosomal RNA, 407 nt
Filed under: bacterium enrichment culture clone ALO1_GLFRUDD03G93V6
Lineage: Bacteria
Description: bacterial SSU rRNA
Rfam family: Bacterial small subunit ribosomal RNA
Source: RNAcentral
GAGUUUGAUCGUGGCUCAGAUUGAACGCUGGCGGCAUGCCUUACACAUGCAAGUCGAACGGCAGCACGGGAGCUUGCUCCUGGUGGCGAGUGGCGAACGGGUGAGUAAUGCAUCGGAACGUAUCCUGGAGUGGGGGAUAACGUAGCGAAAGUCACGCUAAUACCGCAUAUUCUGUGAGCAGGAAAGCGGGGGACCUUCGGGCCUCGCGCUCUUGGAGCGGCCGAUGUCGGAUUAGCUAGUUGGUGAGGUAAAGGCUCACCAAGGCGACGAUCCGUAGCAGGUCUGAGAGGAUGAUCUGCCACACUGGAACUGAGACACGGUCCAGACUCCUACGGGAGGCAGCAGUGGGGAAUUUUGGACAAUGGGGGCAACCCUGAUCCAGCCAUGCCGCGUGAGUGAAGAAGGCC